GUCGCUCGCGCUGCAGCAGGGUCCAGAGUGUUCGUACGGCCGGCUGCCUAGAGGGGCGGUCGGGGAUGAGGCCAAACCCCAGGGGGAGGGCAGCCUGCGCUCCGGUUCCCCAUCAUUCUCGAGGGAUUUGCAGCUGAGAAGGAAUGGCUGGGUCCAGCACUGCCUAAGGAUUCUUCCAGGGGACAGACACGCGGGUGACAUGGAAAGACAAGACGCAGAUGGACAGAUGGCAGACAAGGACCGCGGCUGAGCAGGAGGCAGCAUCGACUCACUCGCCCAGGACCCGGGCCACCCCCAGCUCCUCGAGUGUGGUACAGAAUCGCUCCACCUCCUCUUCCUCCUCCUCCAGGGAGCUCCUGCGGCCCUGAGCGUCUGGCCAGCCAGACUCAAAGGUCUCCUCCGCGGCCCUGGGCAGCGAGCCCUCGGCCAACUCCAUGCCCACAAACUUGCCUGUGGGCAGGGGAGGGAGCAAUUACCUAGGGCCCCAGCUACUCCUCCAUCUGUGUUCCCACCCCACUCAAUCCUCCCGGUGUCUCCCUCCCCCCCCCUUCGCAGCCUGCCCUCUCUCUGGGCCCAGUUUCCUGUUUUUCUUCCUCAUUCUGGACCGAGUGGCCUGGGAAUGGGAGGUGACAGUCUGGCUCCAGCCAGCAAGGGGCAUGCCUGGCUCACAGCCCCGCCUGGGUUUGUCACCAGGGAGGGAAUGGGGGUGCUGCUGAAGCGGGGAUCUCCGGUGAGGUUCCCAUACCAGCACUGCCCCCGAGGAGGUGAUGGAGAGGGCAGGGUGUGUUUGUACGGCCCACAGAGCUCCACAUGUGCCAGGUGCAGGGUCUUUGGGCACCAAGGACAGGACCUGGGCUCACCCAGGCCAAGGCAGAACUCCCGAAGUGUGAGAAAGCCAGUGCAGGCCUGGUCCAAACUCUCAAAGACGGCCUCCAGCUGCUCGGGCGUUAGGGGCAGGUCGCUCUGCAGGCCCUGGCCAGGUAAGAAGAGCAGGAUUGAGCGACCAAGGACACCUAGGGCACAGGGCACCUCCUGGGGUGGGGACUCACCUGCAGGUCGUGCCGGGUGAUAAAGCCCUUGGCCUCCUUGUCACACAGUAGGAACAGCUCCUGCGCCUGCUCCAGCAUCAUUGUUCCCCGCGGGGGCCCCGCAGAGCCCCCCUUUUCCUCUCCUUCCUCCUCCUGGGCUUCCCCAGCCCCAGGUUCCGCCACGCUGGCCAUGGCAGCCGGUUGCGGCAGUGCUCUGAAGCCAGGGAGAGGUCAGAGCCUGAGAUGGGAAAGGAUCAAGAGCGUGGGGUGUACAUGGGAGUGUGUGCGGGAGAGCCAGGCAACACUUCCUCCUGCCAGGUGGGGAAGUGAAAGGCCGGGUAAU
Long non-coding RNA from Loxodonta africana (African savanna elephant), 1371 nucleotides. RefSeq lists it as uncharacterized. NCBI's taxonomy places the organism in Eukaryota, Metazoa, Chordata, Mammalia, Proboscidea, Elephantidae. The transcript has 2 exons. The record is from RefSeq and is a predicted model, not a curated record.